This 715-nucleotide long non-coding RNA is filed under the name Lonchura striata (white-rumped munia). RNAcentral describes it as "domestica (Bengalese finch) lncRNA (ENSLSDG00000002957.1)". The record is from RNAcentral. Lineage: Eukaryota; Metazoa; Chordata; Aves; Passeriformes; Estrildidae.
CCUCCCCGGCACACCUGGACUCGAUUCCUGCCCCCCCAAAUAAAGCCCAGGUGUGAUCCAGGUGUGCCCAGGUGUGCUCCAGGUGUGUCCAUGUCUAUCCAGGUGCGCCCAGGUGCGCCCAGGUGCGCUCAGGGGGGCGGCAGGAGGGGCGUGGGCACACCUGGCACCCCCGGAACCGCACAGGUGACCCCUCCAGGUGUGUCCACGUCCAUCCAGGUGCGUUCCACGUCCAUCCAGGUGUAUCCAGGUGCGCUCCAGGUGUGCCCACGUCCAUCCAGGUGCGCCCAGGUGUGCUCCAGGUGUGUUCCACGUCCAUCCAGGUGUAUCCAGGUGCGCCCAGGUGCGCUCAGGGGGGCAGCAGGAGGGGCGUGGGCACACCUGGCAGCCCUGGAACCGCACAGGUGACCCCUCCAGGUGUGUCCACGCCCAUCCAGGUGUAUCCAGGUGUGCCCACGUCCAUCCAGGUGCGCCCAGGGCGGGGUCAGGAGGGGCGUGGGCACACCUGGCAGCCCUGGAACCGCACAGGUGACCCCUCCAGGUGUGUCCACGCCCAUCCAGGUGUAUCCAGGUGUGCUCCAGGUGUGCCCACGUCCAUCCAGGUGCGCCCAGGUGCGCUCAGGGGGGCGGCAGGAGGGGCACCAGCAGCCGCAGCGCCCCCAGCCCCAGGGCGGCGGCGCCCAGCGCCCGCAGCCCCAGCGCCCCCCAGGGGCCGAGC